AUUUUAAACCACUGCAGCGCACCAUUUUGUAUGUGUGUGUGUGUGUGUGUGUGUGUGUAUAUAUGUGUCUUUGGUGUUUGUGUCUGUGUGUGUGUCUGUGUGCUUGUCGAUGUCUGUUCUUUGGCAGUUUCGAAUGUGUGCAUGUGUGUUACUUUGUGGAUGUCUCUCUGGCACUUUCUUACAUGUGCGUGCGCGUACAUGCUUGCGUGUCUGUGUGUAUAUGUGUGUGUCUGUGUGUAUGUGUAUAUGUGUGUGUGUGUGCACAUGUGUGUGUGUGUGUGCACGUGUGUGUAUGUGUUUGUGUGUGUGUGUGCAUGCUCUGGGGUCCGUAGGCGAGACAGAAAGCAGAGAGGAACCGCAUGCGCGUGGAGAAGAACUUCCUGAAACAGACGCACGCGCGGCGGCAGGAAGCAGCGCAGACGCGCCGCGAGGAGAAGAGGAGGGUCCAGAAGGAGAAGAUAAUGAAGGAAGAGGACCCUGAGAGACAGCGCCGCCUGGAGGAGGCUGUGCACCGUAGAGAACAGAAGAAGUUGGAGAAGAAGCAGAUGAAACAUAUCAAAGUCAAAGCCAUUUGAGUAUGAACAGCCUGAGGAACCCGCAGCCUGGAGAGCGCUGGGCUCGAACUAGCCUACGGUACCCUGUUGCAUUCCGUAAGCUGGCUCCAGCCCCUCAUCUUACAUGAGCGUUCUUUCUGUAGCAACAGAAACGUCCUGUCCAAUCAGCCGUUUCACCGGCGAAAUGUUUGGCUCUUCCAUUCUACUUAGCUAUCCACACGUUUUAACUUGCAACGAUACUUUUAAUGAUAUUUCCACAAACUUCAACAAUUGUGUGAACCAAAUGCGAGUGCACACACAACAGGCACACGCGCACACACACACACACACACUGGCAGAGUAAGCCUUGAGUGGUCUUGCUGAGCUCAACCACUGCUCUGAAGAAAAAUAUUUCGUAUUUCAUUGUGCGAAAUUGUGUAGUGGAUGUUAUUGCUGUGGGUGGGUCUGUUCAUUUUGAGGGAUUUUAUUUUUGUUUUCUUUGGGUUUCUAGUGCCUGAGCAUUAGAGGAGCUACAUACAGCUUAGUGGCUUUUCUGUAAAAAAAAACAAAAAAUAAAAACAUCUGAUAAAGUAUGCUGAAGUCUACGGACUGUAUGAGCACUGUGCUUGAUGCUCAUUUUUAUCCUUUAUUUUCAUGUUUGUGUGCUGCUUGUUGUAAUUGAAAUACAUUUGCUCAUAUAUACUGCUAA
Long non-coding RNA from Anguilla rostrata (American eel), 1242 nucleotides. RefSeq lists it as uncharacterized. NCBI's taxonomy places the organism in Eukaryota, Metazoa, Chordata, Actinopteri, Anguilliformes, Anguillidae. The record is from RefSeq and is a predicted model, not a curated record. The transcript is spliced from 2 exons.